CCAUGGGAUGAGCUGUGGAUAGCGGAGAAAUUCCAAUCGAACUCGGAGAUAGCUGGUUCUCCUCGAAAUAGCUUUAGGGCUAGCGUCGGGUAAUUGAGUAGUGGAGGUAGAGCACUGAAUGGGCUAGGGGCUGACAACAGUUACUGAACCCUAUCAAACUCCGAAUGCCAUAUACUUGUACCCCGGCAGUCAGACUACGAAUGAUAAGAUCCGUGGGCAAAAGGGAAACAGCCCAGACCAUCAGCUAAGGUCCCAAAGUGUAAGUUAAGUGGGAAAGGAUGUGGGAUUUCUAAGACAACUAGGAUGUUGGCUUAGAAGCAGCCACUCAUUUAAAGAGUGCGUAAUAGCUCACUAGUCGAGAGAUCCUGCGCCGAAGAUGUAACGGGGCUCAAACUUACCACCGAAGCUAUGGAUGUGUACUAUGUACACGUGGUAGAGGAGCUUUCUGUACAGGUUGAAGUCAUACCGUAAGGAGUGGUGGACAGUACAGAAGUGAGAAUGCUGGCAUAAGUAGCGAAAAACAAGUGAGAAUCUUGUUGACCGAAUAUCUAAGGUU
This 556-nucleotide ribosomal RNA is filed under the name Clostridium botulinum C/D. RNAcentral's name for it is "partial 23S ribosomal RNA". It matches the Rfam family "Bacterial large subunit ribosomal RNA", at positions 797 to 1352 of the family's 2925-position model. The record is from RNAcentral. Lineage: Bacteria; Bacillati; Bacillota; Clostridia; Eubacteriales; Clostridiaceae.